GGUCAAGCUACUAAGAGCAUGCGUGGGGAUGCCUAGGCGCAAGAAGGCGAUGAAGGACGUGGCCAGCUGCGAAAAGCUUCGGGGAGACGCACACAGUCUGUGAUCCGGAGAUAUCCGAAUGGGGGAACCCACCUGGUGCGAACACCAGGUAUCGUGCGAUGAAUUCAUAGUCGUACGAAGCAAACCCGGGGAAGUGAACCAUCUCAGUACCCGGAGGAAAAGAAAACAACCGUGAUUCCGCAAGUAGUGGCGAGCGAACGCGGAACAGCCUAAACCGUGCGAUUCGAAAGGAGAGCGCGGGGUUGCAGGACCACAAACAUCACGAAUCGUGCUUUCAAAGAGGCGGGAUUCGUGAGGUAAAGAGCGAUAUCAGGGUGUUAAUAGAACGGUCUGGAAAGUCCGGCCAUAGAGGGUGACAGCCCCGUAUAUGAAAAUGCACUGAUAGGUUCGAGUGGCUCCUAAGUACCGCGGGACACGUGGAACCCUGCGGGAAUCUACCGGGACCAUCCGGUAAGGCUAAAUACUGACUUGCGACCGAUAGUGAACGAGUACCGUGAGGGAAAGGUGAAAAGAACCCCUGCGAGGGGAGUGAAAUAGUACCUGAAACCGCAUGCUUACAAGCAGUGGGAGGGCUAUACCGAAAGGGAUGCCUGACCUCGUGCCUAUUGAAUAAUGAGCUGGCUAGUUACUCUCAGUGGCAAGGUUAAGCGAAAGCGAGCCGGAGCGAAAGCGAGUCUGAACAGGGCGUGGAGUCGCUGGGAGUAGACGCGAAGCGGGAUGAUCUACCCUUGGCCAGGAUGAAGUCCGUGUAACAGCGGAUGGAGGUCCGAACCAGUGUUGGUUGAAAACAGCUUGGAUGAGCUGAGGGUAGGGGUGAAAGGCUAAUCAAAUUCCGUGAUAGCUCGUUCUCUCCGAAAUAGCUUUAGGGCUAGCCUCGCGUGGUCCGUCCCGGUGGUAGAGAUCUGAAUGAACUAGGGGCCUUCCCAGGUUACCGAAUUCAACCAAACUUCGAAUGCCGGGAACGAGUAACGCGGGAGUCAGACAGCGGGGGCUAAGCUUCGUUGUCAAAAGGGGAAGAGCCCAGACCAUCAACUAAGGUCCCUAAAUUCAUGCUAAGUGGGAAAGGAAGUCGGGAGCCUCAGACAGCCAGGAGGUUGGCUUAGAAGCAGCCAUCCUUUAAAGAAAGCGUAAUAGCUCACUGGUCGAGGACCCCGGUGCCGACAAUCCAACGGGGCUCAAGCAUGGUACCGAAGUUAUGGAUGCGCAGCGAUGCGCGUGGUAGGAGAGCGUUCCGUCCGCGGCGAAGGUGUACCGCAAGGAGCACUGGAGUGGACAGAAGAGACUCUGCCAGCAUAAGUAGCGAGAAACCAAGUGAGAACCUUGGUCGCCGAAAGUCUAAGGAUUCCUGAGAAAGGUUAAUCCGCUCAGGGUUAGUCGGAGCCUAAGGUGAGGCCGAAAGGCGUAGCCGAUGGACAUACGGUUAACAUUCCGUAACUGCCUUGUUUUUCGAUGCGGGGACGCAGCGUCGAGCUUCUGGAGCGCAAUGGUUACAAUCCAGGGGGGAGAUGAGGGCCGGAGAGGGAAAUCCGCCGGUCUGUCUGCCAGGAAAAGCCGCUAAGGUUAGGAGCAAGGCAUCCGUACCACAAACCGACACAGGUGGACGAGUAGAACAUACUCAGGCGCUCGGGUGAUGGAUUGUUCAGGAACUAGGCAAAUUAACUCCGUAACUUCGGGAGAAGGAGUGCCCCUGUAAAGGGGGCCGCAGUGAAUAGCGUCAGGCGACUGUUUAACAAAAACACAGGUCUCUGCAAAGUCAAAAACGACGUAUAGGGGCUGACGCCUGCCCGGUGCCGGAAGGUUAAAGGGAGAGGUCAGCGCAAGCGAAGCUUUGAACUGAAGCCCCGGUGAACGGCGGCCGUAACUAUAACGGUCCUAAGGUAGCGAAAUUCCUUGUCGGGUAAGUUCCGACCUGCACGAAUGGCGUAACGAUCUGACGACUGUCUUAACAAUCUGCCCGGCGAACUUGUGGUUCCGGUGAAGACGCCGGAUGCCCGCAUCAAGACGGAAAGACCCCGUGCACCUUUACUAUACCCUAUCAAUGAACUAUGGGGUGCUCUGCGCAGGAUAGGUGGGAGGCUUGGAACCCGGGUUUUUGGACUCGGGGGAGCCAGCGGUGAGAUACCACCCUGAGCAUUCUGUGGUUCUAACUUACUUCCCUGGACGGGAAGAAGGACAUUGGUAGGCGGGUAGUUUGACUGGGGCGGUCGCCUCCUAAAAUGUAACGGAGGCGCUCGAAGCUUGGUUCAGGAGGCUUGGAAAUCCUCCAUCGAGUGCAAAGGCAUAAACCAGGUUGACUGCGAGACCAACAAGUCAAGCAGGUGCGAAAGCAGGACUUAGUGAUCCGGUGGUUCUGAAUGGAAGGGCCAUCGCUCAACGGAUAAAAGGUACGCCGGGGAUAACAGGCUGAUCGGAGUCAAGAGUUCACAUCGACGCUCCGGUUUGGCACCUCGAUGUCGGUUCAUCGCAUCCUGGGGGUGUAGAAGCUCCCAAGGGUUAGGCUGUUCGCCUAUUAAAGCGGUACGUGAACUGGGUUCAGAACGUCGCGAGACAGUUCGGUCCCUAUCUGAUGUGGGCGGAGGAGAUUUGAGGGGGGUUGGCCUUAGUACGAGAGGACCGGGCUGAACAGACCUCUUGUGAUUCUGUUGUCGCGCCAGCGGCACUGCAGAGUAGCGAAGUCUGGUCAGGAUAAGCGCUGAACGCAUAUAAGCGCGAAACCUUCCCCGAGAUGAGAUCUCCCAAGCGAAAGCUAAGAAGGGCCGUGGAAGACGACCACGUUGAUAGGCUGGAUGUGGAAACGCAGUAAUGCGGUAAGCUGACCAGUACUAAUAGCCCGUUCGGCUUGACCAU
This 2907-nucleotide ribosomal RNA is filed under the name Nitrospira sp. RNAcentral's name for it is "23S ribosomal RNA". It matches the Rfam family "Bacterial large subunit ribosomal RNA". The record is from RNAcentral. Lineage: Bacteria; Pseudomonadati; Nitrospirota; Nitrospiria; Nitrospirales; Nitrospiraceae.